AAAAAAAGGAAUUUCCUGCAAUGUUUGGGGCUGGUUUGAGUGAUUCUGUCUGGGCAGUGUCAGCUCCUUCCUCUGGAUCCUGACGGCGUCUCCAGGGCUGAGUGAGGCAGGAAGAAGUUCAUUUCUCCUGAUGAUGGAGCAAUAAAUUCUCUUUCUCUGAAA
Molecule: long non-coding RNA, 162 nt
Organism: Melospiza melodia melodia
Lineage: Eukaryota; Metazoa; Chordata; Aves; Passeriformes; Passerellidae
Exons: 2
Source: RefSeq, a predicted model, not a curated record